AGAUUGCUGGCUGAUGCAAUAUUCAAUCAGAAUUUGAUCAUUUUUCAAUAGGAUUCCAAUCAACUGAACAAAAGAACUGUUGAUUAUUAUUUGCAGCCUCUGCGGUAAUCCAGCAUUGAAUUUGAUAUAAAUACGGCAACCUCGACACUCAAAAAGUAAGAAGUUUCUGAGAUUGUCGUGCAGAUCCUCAACAUUGACAGAUCGUAUCUUCAAUACUAUCAUCACUAUGAAGUUCUUCUACGUAGUUUUCGUAGCAGCUGCGUUGGCCGUAAUGUGUCUCAUGUCUCCCACUCAAGCCAGUCCAAAGCCCAGAGAAAUACACGGCAAAUGAUUCCCUAAUUUUGAAAUUGUUUCAAUGCUUGAACUUGUUUUGUGUGUGUGUUUGAUUGAAACAAUGUAAUAAAAUCAAUUGUCAAUUGAGAAA
This is a long non-coding RNA of Nilaparvata lugens (brown planthopper), 424 nucleotides long. RefSeq lists it as uncharacterized. The record is from RefSeq and is a predicted model, not a curated record. The transcript has 2 exons. Lineage: Eukaryota; Metazoa; Arthropoda; Insecta; Hemiptera; Delphacidae.